AUUCGUUUGGCCUUUUCGAGUUCGCUUUUGGGUUUUCCCUUUUUACUUUGAGAAAAUUAGAGUGUUUCAAGCAGACUUUUGUCUUGAAUACUUCAGCAUGGAAUAAUAGAGUAGGACUUUGGUUCUAUUUUGUUGGUUAUUGAACCUUAGUAAUGGUUAAUAGGAACGGUUGGGGGCAUUCGUAUUUAACUGUCAGAGGUGAAAUUCUU
This 209-nucleotide ribosomal RNA is filed under the name Babesia vogeli. RNAcentral's name for it is "partial small subunit ribosomal RNA". The stretch from base 37 to 209 matches the Rfam family "Eukaryotic small subunit ribosomal RNA", at positions 746 to 921 of the family's 1831-position model. Lineage: Eukaryota; Apicomplexa; Aconoidasida; Piroplasmida; Babesiidae. The record is from RNAcentral.